UGGGGAAUUUUGGACAAUGGGGGAAACCCUGAUCCAGCCAUCCCGCGUGUGCGAUGAAGGCCUUCGGGUUGUAAAGCACUUUUGGCAGGAAAGAAACGUCGCGGGUUAAUACCCCGCGGAACUGACGGUACCUGCAGAAUAAGCACCGGCUAACUACGUGCCAGCAGCCGCGGUAAUACGUAGGGUGCAAGCGUUAAUCGGAAUUACUGGGCGUAAAGCGUGCGCAGGCGGUUCGGAAAGAAAAGAUGUGAAAUCCCAGAGCUUAACUUUGGAACUGCAUUUUUAACUACCGGGCUAGAGUGUGUCAGAGGGAGGUGGAAUUCCGCGUGUAGCAGUGAAAUGCGUAGAUAUGCGGAGGAAACACCGAUGGCGAAGGCAGCCUCCUGGGAUAACACUGACGCUCAUGCACGAAAAGCGUGGGGAGCAAAACAGGAUUAGAUACCCUGGUAGUCCACGCCCUAAAACGAUGUCAAACUAGCUGUUGGGGUCUUCGGACCUUGGUAGCGCAGCUAACGCGUGAAGUUGACCGCCUGGGGAGUACGGUCGCAAGAUUAAAAACUCAAAAGGAAAUUGAC
RNAcentral lists this ribosomal RNA (575 nucleotides) under uncultured bacterium. RNAcentral describes it as "partial 16S ribosomal RNA". It matches the Rfam family "Bacterial small subunit ribosomal RNA", at positions 355 to 914 of the family's 1533-position model. The record is from RNAcentral.